ACGGGGGGGGCAAGCGUUGUUCGGAAUUACUGGGCGUAAAGGGCUCGUAGGUGGCCAACUAAGUCACACGUGAAAUCCCUCGGCUCACCCGAGGACCUGCAUCUCAAACUGCCUGACUCGAGUACGGGAGAGGAUGUGGGAAUUCCUGGUGUAGCGGUGAAAUGCGUAGAUAUCAGGAGGAACACCGGUGGCGAAAGCGCACAUCUGGCCCGAUACUGACGCUGAGGCGCGAAAGCUAGGGGAGCAAACGGGA
RNAcentral lists this ribosomal RNA (253 nucleotides) under uncultured prokaryote. Its description in RNAcentral is "partial 16S ribosomal RNA". It matches the Rfam family "Bacterial small subunit ribosomal RNA", at positions 525 to 777 of the family's 1533-position model. The record is from RNAcentral.